UCCCCGUUACCGGGGCAGUCUAGCCAGAAAAAUUCAACUGACUAUAAGGGUUGCGCUCGUUAAUGGACUUAACCAAACAUCUCACGACACGAGCUGACGACGGCCAUGCAUCACCUGUCAUCGGGUUCCAAAAGGCACAGUUUGCUUUCGCAAACCUUCCCGAGAUGUCAAACCCUGGUAAGGUUCUUCGCUUAUCGUCGAAUUAAACAACACGCUCCACCGCUUGUGCGGGUCCCCGUCAAUUCCUUUAUGUUUUAAGCUUGCGCUCGUACUCCACAGGCGGGAUGCUUAACGCGUUAGCUUCGCUACUAGAAGGGUCGAUACUUCUAACAGCUAGCAUCCAUCGUUUACGGCGUGGACUAC
This 363-nucleotide unclassified non-coding RNA is filed under the name uncultured bacterium. Its description in RNAcentral is "contains 16S-23S intergenic spacer region". The record is from RNAcentral.